GGGUUGUGAGGUUAAGCGACUAAGCGUACACGGUGGAUGCCCUGGCAGUCAGAGGCGAUGAAGGACGUGCUAAUCUGCGAUAAGCGUCGGUAAGGUGAUAUGAACCGUUAUAACCGGCGAUUUCCGAAUGGGGAAACCCAGUGUGAUUCGUCACACUACCGCCAAUCUGAACUUACAGCUUAAUGAGAAAGGAACCAAAAACCGGAAACAUCUGGGCACCCUGAGGAAAGAAAUCAACCGAGAUUCCCCCAGUAGCGGCGAGCGAACGGGGAGCAAGCCCAGAGCCUGAACUUCAGUGUGUGUUAGUGGAAGCGUCUGAGCGCGAUACAGGGUGACAGCCCCGUACACAAAAAUGCACAUGCUGUGAGCUCGAUGAGUAGGGCGGGACACGUGGUAUCCUGUCUGAAUAUGGGGGGACCAUCCUCCAAGGCUAAAUACUCCUGACUGACCGAUAGUGAACCAGCACCGUGAGGGAAAGGCGAAAAGAACCCCAUGAGGGAGUGAAAAAGAACCUGAAACCGUGUACGUACAAGCAGGGAGCACGCUUAGGCGUGACCGCGUACCUUUGCAUAAUGGGUCAGUGACUUAUAUUCUGUAGCAAGGUUAACCGAAUAGGGGAGCCGAAGGGAAACCGAGUCUUAACUGGGCGUUAAGUUGCAGGGUAUAGACCCGAAACCCAAGUGAUUCCAGCUUCAUGGGCAGCGGGUUGGGUAACACUAACUGGAGGACCGAACCGACUAAUGCUGAAAACAAUUUAAUUUGUGGCUGGGGUGAAAGCGCCAACGUACCGGGAGAUAGCCAUAGUUCUCCCGAAAGCUAUUUAGGUAGCGCCUCGUGAAUUCAUCUCCCGGGGUAGACACCGUUUCGGCAGUGGCCAUCCCGACCACCAACCCGAUGCAAACCGGGUGAAUACCGGAGAAUGUUAUCACGGGAGACACACGGCGGGCGCAACGUCCGUCGUGAAGAGGGAAACAAACCUGGUGACCGCCAGCUAAGGUCCCAAAGUCAUGGUUAAGUGGGAAACGAUGUGGGAAGGCCCAGAUUGUAGCCGUGGAUGUUGGCUUCUAGAAGCAGCCAUCAUUUAAAAGAAAAGCUGCACAGCUCACUGGUCGAGUCACCGGUGCGGAAGAUGUAACGGGGCUAAACCAUGCACCGAAGCUGCGGCAGCGACACUAUGUGUUGCUAGUAGUGGAGCGUUCUGUAAGCCCGCGAAGGUGUGUCGCGGAGGUAGCGCUAUGUACCGCAGCGUUGAAUGCCGGUCAUUGGGCAAACGAUAAAGCGGGUGAAAAGCCCGCCUCGCCGGAAGACCAAGGGUUCCUGUCCAACGUUAAUCGGGGCAGGGUAUCGACCCUGCUAUGAGUCAAGCGCGCGUCGAUGGAAAACAGGUUAAUAUUCCUGCAAUUUGCGUUACUGCGAAGGGGGGGGACGGAGAAGGUUAUGUUGGCCGGGCGACGGUUGUCCCGGUUUGCUGCAAGGGCUGGUUUUCCAAACUGGAAAAUCAGCGCUGAGGCGUGAUGACGAGGCACUACGGUGCUGAAGCAACAAAUGCCCUGCUUCCGUGAAAGCCCUAAGCAUCAGGUAACAUCAAAUCAAAAAUUCCAAACCGACACAGGUGGUCAGGUAGAGAAUACCAAGGCGCUUGAGAGAACUCGGGUGAAGGAACUAGGCAAAAUGGUGCCGUAACUUCGGGAGAAGGCACGCUGAUAUGUAGGUGAAGCGACUUGCUCGUGGAGCUGAAAUCAGUCGAAGAUACCAGCUGGCUGCAACUGUUUAUUAAAAACACAGCACUGUGCAAACACGAAAGUGGACUCGAAGCCCCGGUAAACGGCGGCCGUAAAUUCAUAACGGGUCCUAAGGUAGCGAAAUUCCCUUGUCGGGUAAGUUCCGACCUGCACGAAUGGCGUAAUGAUGGCCAAAGGCUCUAACCCGAGACUCCAGUGAAAUUGAACUCGCUGUGAAGAUGAAAAAUUCGCGGCAAGACGGAAAGACCCCGUGAACCUUUACCAUAGCUUGACACUGAACAUUGAGCCUUGAUGUGUAGGGAUAGGUGGGGAGGCUUUUGGUGAAGUGUGGACGCCAGUCUGCAUGGAGCCGACCUUGAAAUACCACCCUUUAAUGUUUGAUGUUCUAACGUUGACCCGUAAAUCCGGGCUGUGACAGUGCGUCUGGUGGGUAGUUUGACUGGGGCGGUCUCCCUCCUAAAGAGUAAACGGAGAGCACGAAGGUUGGCUAAUCCUCGUCGGGAUACUCGGAGGUGCUAGUGCAAUGGCAUAAGCCAGCUUGACUGCGAGCGUGACGGCGCGAGCAGGUGCGAAAGCAGGUCAUAGUGAUCCGGUGGUUCUGAAUGGAAGGGCCAUCGCUCAACGGAUAAAAGGUACUCCGGGGAUAACAGGCUGAUACCGCCCAAGAGUUCAUAUCGACGGCGCGGUGUUUGGCAACUCCCGAUGUCGGCCAUUGGGCUCAUCAAGCAUCCCGGGCUGAAGUAGGUCCCAAGGGUGUUGUUCGCCAUUUGUGCGUGGUACGCGAGCUGGGCUAGAACGUCGUGAGACAGUUCCGGUCCCUACCCGCCGGCGCUGGAGGAACUGAGGGGGCUGCUCCCUAGUACGAGAGGACCGGAGGACGCAUCACUGGUGUUCGUUGUCAUGCCAAUGGCACCCGGUAGCUAAAUGCGGAAGAGAUAAGUGCUGAAAGCAUCUGCUAACGAAACUUGCCCUCGCCCUCCCCGACCCCUUUAAGGGUCCUGAAGGAACGCGAAGACGACGAGACGUUGAUAGGCCGGGUGUGUAAGCGCAGCGAUGCGUUGAGCCAACCUAUACUAACGAACCGUGAGGCUUAACCCACAACGCCGAAGGUGUUU
Molecule: ribosomal RNA, 2857 nt
Filed under: Escherichia coli
Lineage: Bacteria; Pseudomonadati; Pseudomonadota; Gammaproteobacteria; Enterobacterales; Enterobacteriaceae
Description: 23S ribosomal RNA
Rfam family: Bacterial large subunit ribosomal RNA
Source: RNAcentral